RNAcentral lists this long non-coding RNA (1256 nucleotides) under Homo sapiens (human). Its description in RNAcentral is "HSALNT0193795". Lineage: Eukaryota; Metazoa; Chordata; Mammalia; Primates; Hominidae. The record is from RNAcentral.
GCGAAAACUCCGUCUCAAAAAGAAAAAAAAGACUGCUAGAUAUUGUCUCACACACAGGUUACUGAGGCUUUGUUGAGGUGCUUUUUAGCCUUUUCCUCUCUCUGCUUCAGUUUGGAUAAAUUUUUUUUUUUUUUUUAAAGAUAGGGUCAUCUCCUGAGUAGGUGGGACUAUAGGCAUGAGCCACCACACCUACGUAUUUCCUGAAGAAAAACAAAAGAAAUAGGGUCUCAUUAUGUUAACCAGGCUGGUUUUGUAUUCCUGGGCUUAAGUGAUCCUCCUGCCUUGGCCUCCCAGGAGCUGGGAAUACAGGCAAAAGCCACAACGCCUGGCCAAGACACAAACAUUUCUAUCACCUUGCAAGAAUCUCUCAUACUCAGUUAAUAGCCACUCCUCCCUAAAGGUAUGUAGUAUUCUGACUUCUAUCGCCAUGGACUAUUUUUGCUUUUCUACAUUAGGAAUUCUGAAUGGAACAAUGCCCUACUUUUUCCCAGGCUUGCUCCAUUCAACAUUGUCUGUUGGGUCCAUCAUGAUGUGACAUGUAGAGAUGCUCAACUUAUGAUGGGGUAUAUGUGCCAAUAAACUCAUCAUAAACGUUCCCUCUGCCAUAUUAUAUGCAACCAGAGCCAUCACUUCUCAGCUGUGUGCAAACAUGAAGAAGCUUCCUAACACCUCUAACCAUCAGUUUCCUCAUUUGUAAUGAUAUUACGAAAAUGCCUACUCCAUAGGAUUAUCGUGAGGAUUGAGUGAAUCAAUACAUAUUAAGCACAUAGAAAAGUACCUAGCACAUGGUAAGCAUGCAAUAAAACUUGUUGUUUUAAGCCUUUGAUGCGAUUUGCCUUAUAAUUAAUUAUGGUGUCUAUACUACCUUGAGAAACACUAAUUUAAGUCAAAUCACCUCUGGGGACACAUGAAUGAGGAAGACAUAAUGGCACUUUCAUCUUGUGAGCACAGCUCCAUGACGUAUCACAGUGACACGGGCUUAGUCUCAAAGCAAGACUAACAAUCAUAAGGGUCAUAGGUAAAUACUAAAGACAGUAAAAGUGGUGGGAAAAAGGAACUAGGUGUGGGAGAGGUGCCUUGGAGCGCUUAAUGUCAUUCUGUGAGUACAGUAGCUACACAUUGCUUACCUUUGAAUAAACGAGAACCCGAUUACAAUAAGAAGUAAAACAUAUGAACAGACUGAAAUAAAACACAAUAAUCCAUAAAUAUCACAUAAGAAAUGUUAUCCAGAAAUCACAGUUUGUGCUAUCUGAAAA